RNAcentral lists this unclassified non-coding RNA (551 nucleotides) under Salix purpurea. Its description in RNAcentral is "sequence contains ITS1, 5.8S rRNA gene and ITS2". Lineage: Eukaryota; Viridiplantae; Streptophyta; Magnoliopsida; Malpighiales; Salicaceae. The record is from RNAcentral.
AUGCUCGGGGGUCCGGGAGGUCCCGGGGGCGACAAGCACGCGCACGACCGUGUCCGAGGGUCUCUCAACCACCGCUUGUCGUGGCGACCGUCGCCGAGGACUCGAUUUUAGGCCAACCACGGGCGGGAGCGCGCGGGAGACCAGUAUCCGCCCCCGCCCUCGUGAGCCGAGGGGAGUGGGGGCGACGAUGCGUGACACCCAGGCAGACGUGCCCUCGACCAGGAGGCCUCGGGCGCAACUUGCGUUCAAAGACUCGAUGGUUCACGGGAUUCUGCAAUUCACACCAAGUAUCGCAUUUCGCUACGUUCUUCAUCGAUGCGAGAGCCGAGAUAUCCGUUGCCGAGAGUCGUUCAGAUUAUCACAAGAAGAAGGCGCGCCCCCGACACCGAGGCUACGAGGGCGUGCUCCUAGUACUCAAUUUCCUUGGCGCUUCUCGCGCCGGGGUUCGUUGGCGAGCCGUGUCGGGCGCAGAUGCGUCCCUCCACGGCACGCGUGGACACGAGGGGCGGGUGCCCCCCGAGCCCAGCUUGUCAUGCCACGGGUUCGCGGGU